RNAcentral lists this ribosomal RNA (434 nucleotides) under uncultured Oscillospiraceae bacterium. Its description in RNAcentral is "bacterial SSU rRNA". It matches the Rfam family "Bacterial small subunit ribosomal RNA", at positions 341 to 792 of the family's 1533-position model. Lineage: Bacteria; Bacillati; Bacillota; Clostridia; Eubacteriales; Oscillospiraceae. The record is from RNAcentral.
ACGGAAGGCAGCAGUGGGGAAUAUUAGGCAAUGGGGGAAACCCUGACCUAGCGACGCCGCGUGAAGGAUGAAGGUUUUCGGAUUGUAAACUUCUUUUAAGAGGGACGAUAAUGACGGUACCUCUUGAAUAAGCCACGGCUAACUACGUGCCAGCAGCCGCGGUAAUACGUAGGUGGCAAGCGUUGUCCGGAUUUACUGGGUGUAAAGGGCGAGUAGGCGGGCUAACAAGUCAGAUGUGAAAUACCGAGGCUCAACUUCGGGGCUGCAUUUGAAACUGUAAGUCUUGAGUGAUGGAGAGGCAGGCGGAAUUCCCAGUGUAGCGGUAAAAUGCAUAGAGAUUGGGAGGAACACCAGUGGCGAAGGCGGCCUGCUGGACAUUAACUGACGCUGAGGAGCGAAAGUGUGGGGAGCAAACAGGAUUAGAUACCCUGGUA